GACGAACGCUGGCGGCGUGCUUAACACAUGCAAGUCGAACGGAAAGGCCCUGCUUUUGUGGGGUGCUCGAGUGGCGAACGGGUGAGUAACACGCGAGUAACCUGCCCUUGACUUUGGGAUAACUUCAGGAAACUGGGGCUAAUACCGGAUAGGAGCUCCUGCUGCAUGGUGGGGGUUGGAAAGUUUCGGCGGUUGGGGAUGGACUCGCGGCUUAUCAGCUUGUUGGGGGGGUAGUGGCUUACCAAGGCUUUGACGGGUAGCCGGCCUGAGAGGGUGACCGGCCACAGUGGGACUGAGAUACGGCCCAGACUCCUACGGGAGGCAGCAGUGGGGAAUAUUGCACAAUGGGCGGAAGCCUGAUGCAGCAACGCCGCGUGCGGGAUGACGGCCUUCGGGUUGUAAACCGCUUUCGCCUGUGACGAAGCGUGAGUGACGGUAAUGGGUAAAGAAGCACCGGCUAACUACGUG
This 468-nucleotide ribosomal RNA is filed under the name uncultured bacterium. RNAcentral describes it as "partial 16S ribosomal RNA". It matches the Rfam family "Bacterial small subunit ribosomal RNA", at positions 28 to 507 of the family's 1533-position model. The record is from RNAcentral.